RNAcentral lists this ribosomal RNA (465 nucleotides) under uncultured bacterium. RNAcentral's name for it is "partial 16S ribosomal RNA". It matches the Rfam family "Bacterial small subunit ribosomal RNA", at positions 338 to 795 of the family's 1533-position model. The record is from RNAcentral.
CCUACGGGUGGCAGCAGUGGGGAAUUUUGGACAAUGGGCGCAAGCCUGAUCCAGCUAUUCCGCGUGUGGGAAGACGGCCUUCGGGUUGUAAACCACUGGUGUAGAGAACGAAAAGUCUAUUGAUAAUACCGAUAGAUGAUGACGGUACUCUAAGAAUAAGCACCGGCUAACUACGUGCCAGCAGCCGCGGGAAUACGUAGGGUGCGAGCGUUAAUCGGAAUUACUGGGCGUAAGGGGUGUGCAGGCGGUUUUGCAAGAUGGAUGUGAAAGCCCCGGGCUUAACCUGGGAAAGCCAUACAUGACUGCAAGACUAGAGUGCGUCAGAGGGGGGUGGAAUUCCAAGUGUAGCAGUGAAAUGCGUAGAUAUUUGGAAGAACACCGAUGGCGAAGGCAGCCCCCUGGGACGCAACUGACGCUCAUACACGAAAGCGUGGGGAGCAAACAGGAUUAGAUACCCUUGUAGUC